ACGCUCGACACCUACGGGAGACAGCAGUGGGGAAUAUUGCACAAUGGGGGAAACCCUGAUGCAGCGACGCCGCGUGAGCGAAGAAGUAUUUCGGUGUGUAAAGCUCUAUCAGCAGGGAAGAAACUGACGGUACCUGACUAAGAAGCACCGGCUAAAUACGUGCCAGCAGCCGCGGUAAUCUGAGCGGGCUGGCAAGGC
This 198-nucleotide ribosomal RNA is filed under the name uncultured bacterium. RNAcentral's name for it is "partial 16S ribosomal RNA". It matches the Rfam family "Bacterial small subunit ribosomal RNA", at positions 328 to 539 of the family's 1533-position model. The record is from RNAcentral.